CUUCGGAGCCUAGCGGCGGACGGGUGAGUAACACGUGGGCAACCUGCCUGACAGACUGGGAUAACGCUUGGAGACGAGUGCUAAUACCAGAUAGUCUCUUGCGCCUCAUGGCGCUUGAGGGAAAGUGGCUUUUGCCACACUGUCAGAUGGGCCCGCGGCGCAUUAGCUAGUUGGUGAGGUAACGGCUCACCAAGGCGACGAUGCGUAGCCGACCUGAGAGGGUGACCGGCCACACUGGGACUGAGACACGGCCCAGACUCCUACGGGAGGCAGCAGUAGGGAAUCUUCCACAAUGGGCGCAAGCCUGAUGGAGCAACGCCGCGUGAGUGAUGACGGCCUUCGGGUUGUAAAACUCUGUCUUCUGUGACGAACAAGCCUGUGACUGGAAUGCUCAGGCCCUGACGGUAACAGAGGAGGAAGCCACGGCUAACUACGUGCCAGCAGCCGCGGUAAUACGUAGGUGGCAAGCGUUGUCCGGAAUCACUGGGCGUAAAGCGCGCGCAGGCGGCGGUCUGCGUCCGGGGUGAAAACCCAGAGCUCAACUCUGGGACUGCCUUGGAUACGGGAUCGCUUGAGGAUCGGAGAGGCAAGGGGUAUUCCACGUGUAGCGGUGAAAUGCGUAGAGAUGUGGAGGAACACCUGUGGCGAAGGCGCCUUGCUGGCCGAU
RNAcentral lists this ribosomal RNA (667 nucleotides) under uncultured bacterium. RNAcentral's name for it is "bacterial SSU rRNA". It matches the Rfam family "Bacterial small subunit ribosomal RNA", at positions 83 to 737 of the family's 1533-position model. The record is from RNAcentral.